UAUGGUUCCCCCUGGGCUACACUGAUCUCUUCCUUUUGUGAGGUAUAAAUUCAGUUUUGGCUAAAGCUGUUGUUACUUCUCAAAUUCAGACCGAAUUAGCAAUGUAACAUGAAAGCAGAAAUUUCACAAGGAAAGAUACAAAAAUGGCUCUCAGACAUAAAAACGAGUUCAAAUUUACUCAUAAUUAGAUAACUAUUAGGAAAACACUGAGAUAUGCAAUUAUGUUUCUACAUACUAAAAACGAAUAAAUGGUUUUUAAAACCGCUAGAAUGAACCUUGGUGAUAUAUCCAAAUCAGGGGUGCCAAUGCAAAUCAUGUUUUUAAUAGGUAGAAGAUAGAUAGAUAGAUAGACAGACAGACAGAUAGAUAGAAGAUAGAUGUAUAUGUGUGUACAAUAAUUAGUAUAACAUGUAUAUUUCCUAGCUUUCUGUACCGAAGGGGAUUAAGAGCAAUGAUACCCCAGUGGCAAUAAGCACACCUGUGAGACUUUAGUGCAGAAGGACAUUCAGCAAAACUCCAUAAGAAUAUUCUCUCCAGGCACAGUGGCUCACACCUGUAAUCCCAACACUUUGGGAAGCCAAGAUGGGAGGAUCACCUGAGGUCAGGAGUUUGAGACCAGCCUGGCCAACAUAGUGAAGCCCCAUCUCUACUAAAAAUACAAAAAUUAGCUGGGCAUGGUGGCUCAUGCCUGUAAUCCCAGCUACUGGGGAGGCUGAGAAGGAGAAUGGCUGGAACCCAGGAGGUAGAGGCUGCAAUGAGCUGAGAUCGUGCCGCUGCACUCCAGCCUGGGUGACAGAGUGAGACUCUGUCUCAAAUAUAUAUAUAAUUCUCUAUUAUGCAGGAUAAAAAUAUUUGAAGCAGACAUACUGACAACCAGAUUUGGGAAUAAAACAUUCAAACUGUAUCUUCUAAGUAAAUAUUUAAAUUAUCCAUGAGUUUCACACACAGAAAAGGAAAUUAAGGAAAUGCAAAUCUUAAAUAUGUUUUCUUUAAUUAUUAAUGGGCUUAUUAACCCUAAAAUAUACCUCCCAAACAUUGAUUUACACAAGAAAUUUCAGGCAGCAUCCUCCCUCUUUUCGAUUACAGUAAAUUCCUCAGGGAGUUCUGGGAGGUUUAUACUCCUGUCCCACCACGCCACAAGCAAAAUCUAAGACAAAUUUUGUCUGAAAGCUUUUAUGGAAAGUCAUAAACAUCAGCUGGCAGGUCCUCAUUUUUGUCCUCGAACCAGCUUGCCACAAAAUGUGAUAUCAGAAUUUAGGAAUAUUUGAAAAUGAGGAGGACAUAGCUCCCGGCCACAGAAAGCCCUUAGGCUGGUGGAGACAGCAGAUCUAAUCAGAAAUUAAUUAGACACCUUAGGACAAACCACCAGUGACAGAAGAGCAGACCAAGAGUGGGGAUCAGCAAGGGAGCAAGAACUUCUCUGAGAAGGCACAGCCAGUCAUGCAGGGCCACAGCAUGGCCACAGCAGUUAAUUAGGUGUGGGUGGCAAGGUGCUUACUCCUUUUAUCUUUUUAUUUUGAGAUAACUAUAGAUCUGCAGGAAGUUGAAAAAAUAAUAGAGAGGUCUCUGUGUGCCUUCACCGAGCUCCCCCAUGGCGCUUACAUCUUACGAAGCUAUGGUACAGUAUCAACAUCAGGAAACUGGCAUUGGCCCAAUGUGUGUGCAUAGUGCUAUGCCAUUUUAUCACGUGUAGACU
This 1696-nucleotide long non-coding RNA is filed under the name Homo sapiens (human). Its description in RNAcentral is "non-protein coding lnc-DHX37-22:1". The record is from RNAcentral. Lineage: Eukaryota; Metazoa; Chordata; Mammalia; Primates; Hominidae.